This 449-nucleotide ribosomal RNA is filed under the name uncultured bacterium. Its description in RNAcentral is "partial 16S ribosomal RNA". It matches the Rfam family "Bacterial small subunit ribosomal RNA", at positions 29 to 523 of the family's 1533-position model. The record is from RNAcentral.
AGCGAACGCUGGCGGCAGGCCUAACACAUGCAAGUCGAACGAACUCUUCGGAGUUAGUGGCGGACGGGUGAGUAACACGUGGGAACGUACCUUUAGGUUCGGAAUAACUCAGGGAAACUUGUGCUAAUACCGAAUGUGCCCUUCGGGGGAAAGAUUUAUCGCCUUUAGAGCGGCCCGCGUCUGAUUAGCUAGUUGGUGAGGUAAAGGCUCACCAAGGCUACGAUCAGUAGCUGGUCUGAGAGGAUGACCAGCCACAUUGGGACUGAGACACGGCCCAAACUCCUACGGGAGGCAGCAGGGGGGAAUCUUGCGAAAUGGGCGAAAGCCUGACGCAGCCAUGCCGCGUGGAUGAUGAAGUUCUUAGGAUUGUAAAAUCCUUUCCCCGGUGAAGAUAAUGACUGUAGCCGGAGAAGAAGCCCCGGCAAACUUCGUGCCAGCCGCCGCCGUAA